AAAUUGAAGAGUUUGAUCAUGGCUCAGAUUGAACGCUGGCGGCAGGCCUAACACAUGCAAGUCGAACGGUAACAGGAAGCAGCUUGCUGCUUUGCUGACGAGUGGCGGACGGGUGAGUAAUGUCUGGGAAACUGCCUGAUGGAGGGGGAUAACUACUGGAAACGGUGGCUAAUACCGCAUAACGUCGCAAGACCAAAGAGGGGGACCUUCGGGCCUCUUGCCAUCAGAUGUGCCCAGAUGGGAUUAGCUUGUUGGUGAGGUAACGGCUCACCAAGGCGACGAUCCCUAGCUGGUCUGAGAGGAUGACCAGCCACACUGGAACUGAGACACGGUCCAGACUCCUACGGGAGGCAGCAGUGGGGAAUAUUGCACAAUGGGCGCAAGCCUGAUGCAGCCAUGCCGCGUGUAUGAAGAAGGCCUUCGGGUUGUAAAGUACUUUCAGCGGGGAGGAAGGUGUUGUGGUUAAUAACCGCAGCAAUUGACGUUACCCGCAGAAGAAGCACCGGCUAA
Molecule: ribosomal RNA, 510 nt
Filed under: Salmonella enterica
Lineage: Bacteria; Pseudomonadati; Pseudomonadota; Gammaproteobacteria; Enterobacterales; Enterobacteriaceae
Description: bacterial SSU rRNA
Rfam family: Bacterial small subunit ribosomal RNA
Source: RNAcentral